RNAcentral lists this ribosomal RNA (253 nucleotides) under uncultured bacterium. RNAcentral describes it as "partial 16S ribosomal RNA". It matches the Rfam family "Bacterial small subunit ribosomal RNA", at positions 524 to 776 of the family's 1533-position model. The record is from RNAcentral.
UACGUAGGGGGCAAGCGUUGUCCGGAAUCAUUGGGCGUAAAGAGCUUGUAGGCGGUUUGUCGCGUCUGCUGUGAAAAUCCGGGGCUCAACCCCGGACUUGCAGUGGGUACGGGCAGACUAGAGUGUGGUAGGGGAGACUGGAAUUCCUGGUGUAGCGGUGAAAUGCGCAGAUAUCAGGAGGAACACCAAUGGCGAAGGCAGCACUCUGGGACGUGACUGACGCUGAGACGCGAAAGCGUGGGGAGCAAACAGG